AUUGAACGCUGGCGGCAUGCCUUACACAUGCAAGUCGAACGGCAGCACGGGUGCUUGCACCUGGUGGCGAGUGGCGAACGGGUGAGUAAUACAUCGGAACAUGUCCUGUAGUGGGGGAUAGCCCGGCGAAAGCCGGAUUAAUACCGCAUACGAUCUACGGAUGAAAGCGGGGGACCUUCGGGCCUCGCGCUAUAGGGUUGGCCGAUGGCUGAUUAGCUAGUUGGUGGGGUAAAGGCCUACCAAGGCGACGAUCAGUAGCUGGUCUGAGAGGACGAGCAGCCACACUGGGACUGAGACACGGCCCAGACUCCUACGGGAGGCAGCAGUGGGGAAUUGUGGACAAUGGGCGAAAGCCUGAUCCAGCAAUGCCGCGUGUGUGAAGAAGGCCUUCGGGUUGUAAAGCACUUUUGUCCGGAAAGAAAUCCUUGGCCCUAAUACGGUCGGGGGAUGACGGUACCGGAAGAAUAAGCACCGGCUAACUACGUG
This 486-nucleotide ribosomal RNA is filed under the name uncultured bacterium. Its description in RNAcentral is "partial 16S ribosomal RNA". It matches the Rfam family "Bacterial small subunit ribosomal RNA", at positions 30 to 507 of the family's 1533-position model. The record is from RNAcentral.